Long non-coding RNA from Megalobrama amblycephala (Wuchang bream), 1126 nucleotides. RefSeq lists it as uncharacterized. The transcript has 6 exons. The record is from RefSeq and is a predicted model, not a curated record. Lineage: Eukaryota; Metazoa; Chordata; Actinopteri; Cypriniformes; Xenocyprididae.
UUAAAAAAAUGGAAAAUAAGUGAAGGAUUUAACGUGGAGCGUUUGCUUUGCUGCAUCAGAGAUGAAGGUUUGACCGAUUUCACGUCAAGCACAGGAGCCCUACCACAAAUGCUGGAGAGUGCCGUCAAAUCCAGCAGUGAAGAUGAACAUCUAAGGGGACUCCCACAAUGGCUUGAGUACUAAUGCUGCUCAGAUAUGCUGUGUGUAUGGAAAGACUGAGGAGUUGAAAGCUGAUUCUACCCUGGAAAGGAGUAAUUUUCUCUUUUAGAGGGGAUGGAAGACCAAGCAGAUACUAUAUUAAAAAGUGCUACACAAUGAUGGUUGUUCUUGCAUAUCUUCUGCCACCAUUGCCUGGAAGUAGAUGCAAUGUUAAAUCUGAAAUUUCAUUUCUUUCAAUUUAAUUUUGUACCGCGUGGAGCCACUAUUGCAUCCCUCUGCAGCAGUUUUGAGACCGCAUCAAAGACCAGACCACAGCCGAUCUACAUUGGAAGUUUGAAGAGCACAACAUGACAGUACAUCAUUACGAGGAUUGACAGAGUAACCAUUCCUGUGGAUGAGGGCCUGAUGUGCUGUGGACAGUAUAUUCUAGGUGUGAAACUUGUCCUGUCCACCACAGAUUAGUUUGGUCUUUUCUUUCUAAGACUGGAGCAUCUAAUAUUGAAACACCACAUUCUCUUCUUUUUAAAACUGACACGGUUUCGCUAGAAAACAACCUCUUCUUCAGCUGUGAUCGCGUACAGCCCGUUUAAACACUUCAAAGACUUUUGAAACUGCAUUGAUUUGGACUUAAAAACGAUGGUAACCAAUGAACUCCAUUGUUAGAAGAAAAAUCCAGAAAUGUUUUCCUCAAAAAACAAAAUUUCUCUCCCACUGAGGAAAGAAAGACAUGGAUAUCUUGGAUGGCAUUGGGUGAGUAAAUUAUUAGGAAAUUUUCUUUUUGGGGUGAACUAAUCCUUUAAGCAUACAAUGAACACUCACAGUAGCUUUUAGUCAAUAUAAAUCGUUAUGUUAUCUUUUGUUAUGUUAUGUUCUUACACUGCAGUAAGUAAUGCAUUCAUAAAGUGAUUCUCUAUUAAAGUUGUUUAAAUGUGAAAAACUUUGUUUAUUAAAGUUUAUUGCAAACGAA